UACAGAGGGUGCGAGCGUUAAUCGGAAUUACUGGGCGUAAAGCGCGCGUAGGCGGCAUUGCAAGUCGGGUGUGAAAUCCCCAGGCUUAACCUGGGAACUGCAUUCGAGACUGCAUUGCUAGAGUAUGGGAGAGGGAAGUGGAAUUUCCGGUGUAGCGGUGAAAUGCGUAGAUAUCGGAAGGAACAUCAGUGGCGAAAGCGACUUACUGGACACAUAUUGACGCUCAGGUGCGAAAGCGUGGGGAGCAAACAGG
RNAcentral lists this ribosomal RNA (253 nucleotides) under uncultured bacterium. RNAcentral's name for it is "partial 16S ribosomal RNA". It matches the Rfam family "Bacterial small subunit ribosomal RNA", at positions 524 to 776 of the family's 1533-position model. The record is from RNAcentral.